UCUCCCUCUUAAACUCUCCUCUCUACUCGUCUCCUCGGCCGAGAAGCUUGAAAGCUCUCAUCGCCGCCGGUUGGUCACCAAACACUCCGAUCGCGAAGGGCGAACCAGUUAGAACCGACCCCGAACCGAGCCUAAACCCAACUUCUUUCUAUUUCUUACCCUUCGAAAACCAUCUCUUCAACCCUUCUCUCAGUUUCACGAUCUCUCACGCUAAAGACCAAACCCACCAUGCCGUAAAUCGGCGUUCUUGCCUCUCCGACUAUCACCAACGGUGGUCGGUCGAACUCUAAUCUAGCCCUAAAACAAAACCUAAGCUCUCUCCUUCUUCUUCUAACCCAAACCCGGGAGGAAAUGAAACUGACACAACCCCCUCUUAAGCGAGCGUCCGACGGGCCUCAACUCCUCAACUUACGGUGAACGACAUUCCUUUUUUUCGGUGAUGGACUCAAACAACUAAGAUUUUCUAAACCUAUGGAAACCCGGCCUCUCUACUGCCUCCUGUCACCGACAGCUUGGUUAUCUCCUAUAGUGACACUCGAACAGACUAGGGCUUCAUGUGGACUGGAGGCUUGGAUGAUAAUACUGUUGUUUUGGGCUGACUUGGGCUCCCAUUGAUCCAAAUUUGUAUCUUGUA
Molecule: long non-coding RNA, 634 nt
Organism: Hibiscus syriacus
Lineage: Eukaryota; Viridiplantae; Streptophyta; Magnoliopsida; Malvales; Malvaceae
Exons: 3
Source: RefSeq, a predicted model, not a curated record